GGUUUAUGUUUACCUUCCAUUGUCGUCUUCAUUAUCUUGCAGAAGGGCACCUCGUGUUCUUGCCCUACGAUGUACUGGCACAACACGAUUGGUGACUUUCGUUGAGCCGAUAUCAUGAAUAGAUUUGUCAGGAGACUUUUGAAACCCGUCUUCAUUGGGCCAGGCAUCUGAAUUUAGCAACUCCUGUUUCUUUUCCUUUUCCUCGAAUGUCGAUUGAAG
This 219-nucleotide unclassified non-coding RNA is filed under the name Hevea brasiliensis (rubber tree). Lineage: Eukaryota; Viridiplantae; Streptophyta; Magnoliopsida; Malpighiales; Euphorbiaceae. The record is from RNAcentral.